RNAcentral lists this ribosomal RNA (468 nucleotides) under uncultured bacterium. Its description in RNAcentral is "partial 16S ribosomal RNA". It matches the Rfam family "Bacterial small subunit ribosomal RNA", at positions 28 to 507 of the family's 1533-position model. The record is from RNAcentral.
GACGAACGCUGGCGGCGUGCUUAACACAUGCAAGUCGAACGGAAAGGCCCUGCUUUUGUGGGGUGCUCGAGUGGCGAACGGGUGAGUAACACGUGAGUAACCUGCCCUUGACUUUGGGAUAACUUCAGGAAACUGGGGCUAAUACCGGAUAGGAGCUCCUGCUGCAUGGUGGGGGUUGGAAAGUUUCGGCGGGUGGGGAUGGACUCGCGGCUUAUCAGCUUGUUGGUGGGGUAGUGGCUUACCAAGGCUUUGACGGGUAGCCGGCCUGAGAGGGUGACCGGCCACAUUGGGACUGAGAUACGGCCCAGACUCCUACGGGAGGCAGCAGUGGGGAAGAUGGCACAAUGGGCGGAAGCCUGAUGCAGCAACGCCGCGUGCGGGAUGACGGCCUUCGGGUUGUAAACCGCUUUCGCCUGUGACGAAGCGUGAGUGACGGUAAUGGGUAAAGAAGCACCGGCUAACUACGUG